CCUACGGGUGGCAGCAGUGGGGGAUAUUGCACAAUGGGGGAAACCCUGAUCCAGCAACGCCGCGUGAGUGAAGACGUAUUUCGGGUUGUAAACCUCAGUGAUCAGGGAAGAAACAGAUGGUAGUUCCUUAAAAGGCACCUCCUAAUAACUACGUGCCAGCCGCCGCGGUACUUCGUAGGGAGCAAGCGUUCUCCGGAUUUACUGGGUGUAAGGGGGGCGUAGGCGGGGCCACAAGUCAGAAGUGAAAUACCGGGGCUCAACUCCUGGGCUGCGCUUGAAACUGUGUUUCUUGAGUGAAGUAGAGGCAGGCGGAAUUCCUAGUGUAGCGGUGGAAUGCGUAGAUAUUAGGAGGAACACCAGUGGCGAAGGCGGCCUGCUGGGCAGUAACUGACGUUGAUGCUCGAAAGCAUGGGGAGCAAACAGGAUUAGAUACCCGAGUAGUC
This 443-nucleotide ribosomal RNA is filed under the name uncultured bacterium. Its description in RNAcentral is "partial 16S ribosomal RNA". It matches the Rfam family "Bacterial small subunit ribosomal RNA", at positions 338 to 795 of the family's 1533-position model. The record is from RNAcentral.